UACGUAGGUGGCAAGCGUUGUCCGGAUUUACUGGGCGUAAAGAGCGCGCAGGCGGUCGUUCAAGUCGCGUGUGAAAGCCCCCGGCUCAACUGGGGAGGGUCACGCGAUACUGAUCGACUGGAAGGCAGGAGAGGGUAGUGGAAUUCCCGGUGUAGUGGUGAAAUGCGUAGAUAUCGGGAGGAACACCAGUGGCGAAGGCGGCCUUCUGGACCAGUACUGACGCUCAUGCACGAAAGCGUGGGGAGCAAACAGG
Molecule: ribosomal RNA, 253 nt
Filed under: uncultured bacterium
Lineage: Bacteria
Description: partial 16S ribosomal RNA
Rfam family: Bacterial small subunit ribosomal RNA
Source: RNAcentral